UACGUAGGGGGCAAGCGUUGUCCGGAAUCAUUGGGCGUAAAGCGCGCGUAGGCGGCCCGGUAAGUCCGCUGUAAAAGUCCAGGGCUCAACCCUGGGAUGCCGGUGGAUACUGUCGGGCUCGAGUCCGGAAGAGGCGAGUGGAAUUCCUGGUGUAGCGGUGAAAUGCGCAGAUAUCAGGAGGAACACCAAUGGCGAAGGCAGCUCGCUGGGACGUGACUGACGCUGAGACGCGAAAGCGUGGGGAGCAAACAGG
This 253-nucleotide ribosomal RNA is filed under the name uncultured bacterium. RNAcentral describes it as "partial 16S ribosomal RNA". It matches the Rfam family "Bacterial small subunit ribosomal RNA", at positions 524 to 776 of the family's 1533-position model. The record is from RNAcentral.